RNAcentral lists this long non-coding RNA (760 nucleotides) under Malus domestica (apple). Its description in RNAcentral is "long non-coding RNA (MDOM_LNC007658)". The record is from RNAcentral. Lineage: Eukaryota; Viridiplantae; Streptophyta; Magnoliopsida; Rosales; Rosaceae.
UUAAAAUUAAAUAUGAAUAGUAUUUGACGAAUCUUGACUGCAUAAUGUACAAUGAAUGAACAUGAUUUAAGGAUUUCCGAAAUCCUCACAAACAGUGAUGAAGCUACGUGAGGGUUAGGAGUGGUCGUCGUCCCUCCCCUCGCCUGAAAACACACAUAGGAGCGCUGGUUCAGCCCCUUCGCUCUCAUCGAAAAUGAGAAUUCUCGUUCCGAUGAUCUGGUUUUUGCAGCAGAGUUGGGUUUUUUUAAUUUAUUUAUUUAUUUUUUACAUAUUUUGAAACCCCAAUAACACCCUUCAUCCAUCACCUUGCCGCACUCAAAUCUCACCCCAAAAUAAGAAACCAGACGUGUACCUCCAGGAAUGACACCCAAACAACCCAGAUCAUCCACACACCCAUCCAUGCCACCCCAACGACUUUCACUUUUGGAAUUUCACUGCGGAAUCCGAUCAUCUAUGCUUCUACUCGAUGUAGUGGACCAGGAUCGAGACUGCUUUCGUCAACAACUCCGCUCGUCGCUGGACCAGGACUUGCUGAGCUAUGUGAUGGUGGCUAUAGGGAUAAAGGAGCUGGGAUAAAAAAGGCUUGGGAUGAAAGGGGAGAAGUGGCUUUGGAAAUAACGAUCUUAUAAAAAGUUUUGGAAAUAAUGAUAAAAAGUUUUGGAAAUAAUGAUCUCAUAAAAAGCUUUGUUUAUGGAUAUAUUUAAUUAGAUAAACUUAAUUUUCAAUAAUUAUAAUAAUAAAAAUAAUUUAUUUAAAUAAG